CUUCUAUGACGUUUGGCACGCCGGAGGCUCUGGAUCACUUGCGCAAACUAACCGACGUCGGAGCCAUGACGCGCCUUCUCCAUGAGUGCAUCGCUUACCAACGGGCUCUCGAUCUCGACCUUGACAACCUCCAACGCUCGGAUCUCGACAAGCACCUCCUCCACCUUCAGAAAUCCGCGGAGGUGCUCGACAUCGUCAAGGCGGAUUCCGACCACAUG
RNAcentral lists this unclassified non-coding RNA (218 nucleotides) under Hevea brasiliensis (rubber tree). Lineage: Eukaryota; Viridiplantae; Streptophyta; Magnoliopsida; Malpighiales; Euphorbiaceae. The record is from RNAcentral.